RNAcentral lists this ribosomal RNA (253 nucleotides) under uncultured bacterium. Its description in RNAcentral is "partial 16S ribosomal RNA". It matches the Rfam family "Bacterial small subunit ribosomal RNA", at positions 524 to 776 of the family's 1533-position model. The record is from RNAcentral.
UACAGAGGUCCCAAGCGUUGUUCGGAUUCACUGGGCGUAAAGGGUGCGUAGGUGGUGGGGUAAGUCUGAUGUGAAAUCUCCGAGCUCAACUCGGAAAUGGCAUUGGAAACUACUCGGCUAGAGGGUUGGAGGGGGGACUGGAAUGCUUGGUGUAGCAGUGAAAUGCGUAGAUAUCAAGCGGAACACCAGUGGCGAAGGCGGGUCCCUGGACAACACCUGACACUGAGGCACGAAAGCUAGGGGAGCAAACAGG